UUCGCAAUGCCCGAAAGGGUGACGAAGCGACGCCGCGUGUGGGAAGAAGGCCUUCGGGUUGCAAACCACUGUCGGGAGUUAAGAAAUGCAAGAAUGUUAAUAGCGUUUUUGCUUGACUAAGGCUCCGGAAGAAGCCACGGCUAACUCUGUGCCAGCAGCCGCGGUAAUACAGAGGCGGCAAGCGUUGUUCGGAAUUAUUGGGCGUAAAGAGCACGUAGGCGGCUAUAUAAGUCGGUUGUGAAAGCCUUCCGCUCAACGGGAGAACAGCAUCCGAUACUGUGUGGCUUGAGUGUGGGAGGGGAGAGCGGAACUUCUGGUGGAGCGGUGAAAUGCGUAGAUAUCAGAAGGAACGCCGGCGGCGAAAGCGGCUCUCUGGCCCAUAACUGACGCUGAGUGUGCGAAAGCUAGGGGAGCAAACGGGAUUAGAUACCCCGGUAGUCCUAGCCGUAAACGAUGGGCACUAAGUAGAGGGGUUU
This 476-nucleotide ribosomal RNA is filed under the name uncultured Planctomycetales bacterium. Its description in RNAcentral is "bacterial SSU rRNA". It matches the Rfam family "Bacterial small subunit ribosomal RNA", at positions 365 to 831 of the family's 1533-position model. The record is from RNAcentral. Lineage: Bacteria; Pseudomonadati; Planctomycetota; Planctomycetia; Planctomycetales.